RNAcentral lists this ribosomal RNA (427 nucleotides) under uncultured bacterium. RNAcentral describes it as "partial 16S ribosomal RNA". It matches the Rfam family "Bacterial small subunit ribosomal RNA", at positions 355 to 774 of the family's 1533-position model. The record is from RNAcentral.
UGGGGAAUAUUGGACAAUGGGCGAAAGCCUGAUCCAGCCAUGCCGCGUGUGUGAAGAAGGUCUUCGGAUUGUAAAGCACUUUAAGUUGGGAGGAAGGGCAUUAACCUAAUACGUUAGUGUUUUGACGUUACCGACAGAAUAAGCACCGGCUAACUCUGUGCCAGCAGCCGCGGUAAUACAGAGGGUGCAAGCGUUAAUCGGAAUUACUGGGCGUAAAGCGCGCGUAGGGGGUUUGGUAAGUUGGAUGUGAAAUCCCCGGGCUCAACCUGGGAACUGCAUUCAAAACUGACUGACUAGAGUAUGGUAGAGGGUGGUGGAAUUUCCUGUGUAGCGGUGAAAUGCGUAGAUAUAGGAAGGAACACCAGUGGCGAAGGCGACCACCUGGACUAAUACUGACACUGAGGUGCGAAAGCGUGGGGAGCAAACA